Molecule: ribosomal RNA, 161 nt
Filed under: uncultured bacterium
Lineage: Bacteria
Description: partial 16S ribosomal RNA
Source: RNAcentral
UGAGGAAUAUUGGUCAAUGGUCGGGGAGCCUGAUCCAACCAAGGUACCUGUGCAGGAUGACUGCCCUAUGGGAUUGUAAACUGCUUUUAUACGGAAGAAGAAACCUCCCGUGUGAGGGGAUUGUCCGUACCAGUAUGAAUAAGGACCGGCUAAUUCCAGUG